CCUCAAUUCAAGCAAGACAAAACCCAGGCCUCUCUCGCGCUCCCCCAUUCGUGGAGGGGAGAGGGCCUUGGACGGGGGUGGGGGGAAAGAAAUCAUGGUGUCAUUUCUGCACACCCUGGCCUGCCAUUCUCCACCGCUACAGCUGUUCCACUAUUCCUCCUUUCCAAGGAGGGAGCUGUGGGAAUGGGAAGACAUUUGCUGAUCUCCUUCCCUGGGAGGGAAAAUGUGGGCACUUCGAAUCAGCUGAAAAUUCCCGCAAGCUCCUGGGGACGACGACUAAGACCUGGUUCUGAGAGCUUGGAGGCUACAGGGAAAGAAUAAAAGUGUUGUAGAUUCAGGAGGGGAUCUAUCAAGUUCUCUCUCCCUUUCCUGAUCUUUUAAAUCCAGUUCUUCGUAUUUCUUCAGCAACUCGCAACUCUCCGUUAAAAUUAUCCUCCUGAAAGUUCA
Podarcis raffonei (Aeolian wall lizard) is the source of this 447-nucleotide long non-coding RNA. RefSeq lists it as uncharacterized. The transcript is spliced from 2 exons. The record is from RefSeq and is a predicted model, not a curated record. NCBI's taxonomy places the organism in Eukaryota, Metazoa, Chordata, Lepidosauria, Squamata, Lacertidae.